Long non-coding RNA from Aedes albopictus (Asian tiger mosquito), 6240 nucleotides. RefSeq lists it as uncharacterized. The record is from RefSeq and is a predicted model, not a curated record. NCBI's taxonomy places the organism in Eukaryota, Metazoa, Arthropoda, Insecta, Diptera, Culicidae. The transcript has 2 exons.
GGAUUCUGAUUUUAUCUUGGGUAUUUAAUUAGUGAGGUUCCGGUGUUCCUUUUUGUACAUAUAACUAUUUUUAUUUGCAUCUCAAUCAAUUGGCUUCUUAAGCGGCGUUGCGAUCAUUCCGUAUUCUGAAUCUACACGCCAAACUGAGCCGAAAUCCAAAUUUUCAUGCUCAUGCUUCAUGCUUUUCAUGAACCUGCUUGGGAACAUGUUAAAAAUCAAUUUGAUGUCAUCGUCGGAUUUUGUACUGGCCGAGCUAUAGCAUAUAUGUACAUAUCAAACAGUUGCCCAGCUGUCAAAGGGUGAUUUCAAAAAUUCUCUUUGAAAUUAAUUUUAGGUUUCUUCUUUCAGGGAUACAUCUUCAGAAGUUCUUCCAAAGAUUCCUUCGAAAAUUUUUUAGGGAUUGAUAUUUCUAUUCCUCAAUAUUUAUUCAGAGACAUUUUCCAGAGUUCCCUUUGAAAAUUCUUAUGGAAUCUCUAUAAAUAACUUUACUUAGAUUACUUAGAAACCAAUGAUUUUAUCCAAAAUUUCUGCAGAGGUGUUUUUUGAGAGCCUUUCAUGAAUUCCUUUAUAAAUUCCUCCAGGGAUCUUUUCAUCAAACUCUAGGGAUUUUGUUUUAGAAAAUCCUACAGACCUUCCUUAAACAACUUUUUAAGGGAUUCUUUCAAAAAAUCUUCUUUUAGACAUUCUUCAGUGAUUUCUUCAGGAGCUACUCCAGGAAUUCCUGCAAGAAGUACUCCAUGCAUUUCUUUGGAAAUUCUUGCUGAAAUGUAUCCCGGGUUUUUAUCAGGUAUUCCUCCGGAUAUUCCUCCAGAGAUUCUUGCCCAAUUUCAUUGAGUGAUACCAGCAAGAAUUUUUCCACAGAUUCCAACAAAAACUCAUUUAGAGAUUUCUUGAGGAAUUCCUCCUGGUAUUCCUCCAAAUCCAUGGUUCGUCUAAGGGUUACUGAAAAUGUUCUUACUUAAUAUAUUAGUCAAGACGUCAACUGGAAAAGCAUCACAAGCUGUAAGAACAUUUUCAGUAACCCCUAGACGAACCAUGGAUUUGGAGGAAUACCAGGAGGAAUUCCUGAAGAAAUCUCUAUUAUGAGUUUUUGUUGGAAUCUGUGGAAAUCGUUAUAACGAUAAUUCAAAGAGUUCGGCCUACUCAUUCAUGUGCUAAACUUAUACCACAUUUCCUUUUCUUCAACAACAGGAUUUUAAAUUUAGCAGACAUUGCAAUGCAUUGGUGUUAAUAGCUAGUAACGGAAACCAGUAACAUUCCUUCCCUUUCUCGGCAGACCGUAAGGACGUGGCCAGCGCCGUUAUUGACCUAAGAAAGUUUGAGUUCUCGGAACGUGUAAAUUGAGGAUGCUGGGCUAAACCCAAGCCCCAUCUGUUGAUUCUCUGUGCAAUUCCGCUAGCUCUGAUCAAUCACAGAGUAGCAACUACGAAGUGCACGGUCACCAAUGCUCAUGCUCAUGCCGAAGUUACUUCCUUCCAGUUGCAUCCAGAGAUGGGUUCUUAUACUACAACCGUUCUAAUUUAGGAUUUAACAUUGGCCCGGGAAGCAUAGUAGAUCCACAAUCUUGUCCAUUUCUGUGGCUAACCUAAUCGCAAACGAAGCCAGGGCACCCACCGAGACAAUCAUCUGCCCGCCCUUCUUUAGUCUCAAGCUUGAGAGGCUUAAUAAGGCGGGAUUAUGAAGAUGUCAUUGAUUAGUUUAAAUUUUCAUCUAUGUAUAUGGUUUCGCAUUAGACGAUUUACACAGUGUAUUAUGUGUUUCCUCGACUUUGGCGUUUUCCAAUCAAUACCGAGUAAAUGAUCUGGUUUUAUUGCUGCUGUUUUUUUUUUGUGCUAUAAUUGCCUAGUUUGUGUAGUGGCUAAGGUUGAGAUAGCUCAUAGCAAUCUUCAUCACAAAAGAACAGCAACAAUCAAUCCCUGCAGACUAAUGCAAAAUGGUAAAACCAAAGUCCAAGAACCUUACUUUUCUAAGGGGAACUUAUACCUAGAAAACCUUGUGAACCCGGUGUUUGCUACUUUCAGUAAAAAUGAAAUGGCAAACUCGAGUGUCGUGCCUCGAGCCUGUGUGCUUGUUAACAACGCAAUCGUUGCUGCACUCAUCUCUGAAUUAACCACCAGCAAUGUAUGUGCUGUUACAAUUGAUUUAUCUGUUAGAAACGUCAACAGGAAAUACGUCUAUUGUUCGGUGUAUUUACCGCAUGAUGAACCAUCCCCUACGGAUACUUUCAAACAAGUCUUCGCAUACUGCUUUUCAAAAGGCCAUCCGCUAAUUGUUGGCAUUACUGCUAAUGCUCACCAUACCAUCUGGGGCAGCUCUUACAUUAACUUGAGAGGCUCCAGUUUGAUGAAGUACGUAAGUAGUACAGAUCUUGGAUUACUUAUCAUAGGAAAGUGCCCAACCUUCAUGGUAUCUGCUAGAGAUGAUGUGUUAGACAUUGCUCCAACAGAAUUAAUCAUGAGUUGACCAACUGGCAUGUAUCAGAUGAAGAAUCUUCAUCUGAUCAUCGAUACAUCUUUUUUGAACACUUAAAUGUUACUUCGCAAACUUAGCGUUUCAGGAAUUUCCGGUCAACCAACUGGGAUCUCUUUACUGAUUUGAUUGCGGCCAAAAUUCAUGGGUACUUACCAUCCAUUGGCACUCCAAGUGAUUCAGAUGAUGCCGUUGAUACUACAACGGCCUUCAUCAUGAAAGCUUUUGAAGAAGCUUGCCCUCUGAGGCUUGUGAAGACCACAAGUGGAACUCUGAUCUGGCCAAGCUCGGGAAACAAUGUAGAAAGAGUUGGAAAGACGACGUUCGGCUAGAUUGGAGACUUUCAGGACGACUCGCAAGGCCUACCAAAAAGCUCUCCGGUAUGCUGAACGACCGGCUGGGAAAACCUUUGUACAAAUGUUUCCAGUUUGAACGAAAUUAGUCAGUUGAACAAAAUCCUCGCAAAAUCUAAGGUUUUCCAAAUGAACGAACUUCACUUCCUCCGAUGAGGAAAUUUUGGAUUGUUUAUUCAGUAUCACACUUCCCCGGAUGUGGAUAUGUAUUACAUCUUCGGAUGAAGUUGUCUUUUCUUGUAGCUAUGAUUCUUUAGCUUCGGCUCGGAGUAUCAUAACUAUAUAAUCGAUUGAGUGGGCACAAAAUAGCUUUCCUUUUUUCAAAUCUCCUUGAGCAGAUGGGAUAUAUCCAAUUUUGCUUCAGAAGGGAUUUGUUGUUUGUUUGUUUGUUAAUGUAUUUACGACACUUUACACCAGAAGGGUGCAUUUGUGUUGGAAGGGAUUUGUUAAUUUCAAACAUGGUUUGAAAAAAAAAAUACUUGUUUGCAGUUUUGCUACAGGGUAUAUUCCCAAAUCCUGGCAGAAUAAGUAUUACUGUAAAGUUAAUUCCGAAAAUGGGUCGAGCGUCGUAUGAAGAAGAAGGGAGCUAUAGACCUAUCAGUUUGACCUCUUUACUUCUGAAAUGUUCAGAACGCAUUGUCGGUCAUCACAUCUUGUCUUGAUGUUCAUCUGGCCAACGUGCCUCUUCAUGUGAACCAACAUGCCUACCAAUCUGGAAAGUCCACUGUGACUCUUUUACACAAGGUUGUUUAGAGGUUGGAGAGUGGAUACCUAGUUACCUGGCAGACGGAAUCGUAUGUUGCACUGAUGGCUCCCUUCUCGAAGGUCGAGCAGAUGCUGGUGUCCACUCUCGUGAGCUAAGGCUACAUUGGUCUUACGCACUUGGUAGACACUGCACCGUUUUUCAGGUCGAAAUCUUUGCUCUUAUGUGCGGAGUGCAAUCAGCACUUCAGCAGCACGUACACAGUUAGAAAAAAUCACCGACUUCGGUAAUGUUUUUCCGAAAUCUCAACCGUUAAGUUUGUUUUACAGGAAAAAUUCGGUAAAGGUAGCAGCUUUUUCCGAAGUUCGUAAGAGUUUGACAGAUAAACGAUAACAUUUUACCGAAAUUUGGCAAUUUUUUUACAGAUUUUCGGUAAAAACCCAUUACCGAACGCUCAGCGGUUGAAAUUUCGGUAAAAAAUACCGAACGCGAUUAGCUGUGUAAUGGGCAAAGUAAUGUACUUCUGUUCAGAUAGCCAGACUGUUAUUGAAGCUCUUGCUUCAGCCAACUCUAGGUCGAGGAUAGUUAUCGCUCGUCGAACUCAAAUCGAGAAGCUGAAUUCAGCUAACGCUAUUUACUUUGUAUGGGUACAAUCUACUGUCUAAGCAGAAUUGCAGCAUGCUGGUCAAAGCGUUGACUGGCUACUGCCGACUCAGCUAUCACAUGGAGAAUAUUCAGCAAGCUAUAGCUAUAUCAUAAUAUUAUAUGAUAUUAUAUGAUAUAUGGUAUUAUAUGAUAUUAUAUGAUAGUAUAUAAUAGCUGUAAAUCCGAUUAUGAAACUUCGUAUCAUUUGAUAUGGGACUGUCCAGUUUUUGCGCAACUCCGCGAUUUGGUAAAAAAAACUUCUUAAGUUAACCCUUCAAGACGCGCGCUGUUGUAAAAAGUACAACACUACCAAAAAACUUCGCUCGCCGUAUACAGCGCGGUGGAGUUUAAGUUGCUUGAUGGCGCGCGUCCUGAAAGGUUAAACCUAAAUCUUCAGAAAAAUGUCUUCUGUUGUUCACGCAGAAAAAUAUCGAUAAGUUAAACCUAAAAACGCGUCGAUUUGCUUCUAUCAUUCUCGUAUGCAUUGAAGCAAUUCAUCGCUUUUAUUGUUUCUAUUCUACUAUAUCAUCAAAACAACAUUUGUUUUGAAUUGAAUCAAAUAUGCGCUUUGUUUUUAUUGUCAACAAACAUCCAUUAUUGUUUCUAUCAAAUAAAUUUGUAGAAUCAACAAUCUGGAUGUUUUAUGGUCACCAUUUUGUGUUUGUAAGAAAAACAGAGGACCUUUCCUUGCGCGAAAUUGCUGAGUCAAAAGUGCGACGAAUAGUAAUCGUAAUGUUCGUUUUCGUUCGAUUUUUUGUUAUACUGCUGUCAAAAUAGUAAGUGCAACUGUGGAGUCGUCAUUUUACUCAUAUCCUUGAUCAUUUUAGAAAUUGUACGAGAUCGAAUAUUCAGUGAUGUUGGCUCUGCAGGAAUUCGUUCAAAAAAAGCGCCGCACUACCCAUUUAAAAACGUAAUCAAAAUAUUUUUAGAAUCAUUUAUUUUAUCUAAAAUUGUGUUAUUCGAUAUAUAGUUACAUACUACUAAUGUCUGUAUUAUAUUAAUACAUACAUGAAAAUAAAACCUAAUCAAUAAAGUUGUUUUUAAUAUAAAAACCCGAUUUAAUCCACCUAUGGUGAACAGAACCCUUCUUACACUUAUUGAAAUUAUUGUUGUAUUAUUUGUAUUUAACAUAUUUAUUUCGUGCUAUUGACCAAAAGUUCUAGAAAAUAUUAUGGAUUUGGCAUCUAGAGGAUUGGUUUCCAAAAUAUCAUCAUGACCCAUGGGUGAACUACCAGAAAUGUCAGACACCUAAUCUUGUAUGGAAUGUUUAAAAAAUAGCUUAAUUCUGGAAUAUUGUAUCUUUUGUUAACUGCCAAAAGAUCUUGAAUCGAUUAAUAAAUGAAUAAGAAAAUCACCGAGAUACACUUUGUCUAAUAUCUCUUAAUCAGUCGAUUAAAUUAGCUCCGAAGUACAUGAAUUAUGGUGUAAAAAGGACAAAAAUGAUAUAUCUACUAAGUUAAUCAGUUUUGGCAUUAGCUAGUUAUUUUGGUUGUCCGGUUCUUGCAUUUUUCCCACAAUAUAUAAAUUCAAAUCUUUCAUUUAACAUAUUGUUAGUUUUCAUAGAAUUCCUGUUUAUUUGUAAUUUGUUAUUUAUAAUUUUGUUGAAAACAAUAACCUGCUAUAGUAUACACUUUAUAUGAGGUCAGCAUUAUUUAUUGAAAAAUAAUUUCACAUAUAAUGGUCAAACAUUCAUGCAAGAUAACAAGUAAAUAUUUGUCCGGUAAUAAAAUAAAAAAAGAAUUUAUUGAAAUACUCUUCGUAAGAUAUCUCAGUAAUCAAAUGUUGAAUCGAAAUAAAAUUUCAGGGCCUUUUACAAGGAUAUUGCAGCUUUUAUUUGGUGCUAAGAGAACCCAAAUCGGUUGACAGACGGCUGAGAUAUUUAUUAUGAUACACUUGGUCAAAAAUCUCAAAAAGAUUAGUUGUAUAAAUCCUAAGUACUCUUCGAAAGAUAUCUCUGUAACCAAAUGUCCAAUCGGAAUAAAAUUUCUGGGCGAUCUACUAGGAUGCAGUAGCUUUCAUUUGGUGCCAAGAGAACCCAAAUCGGUUGACAAACAGCAGGGAUAUUUAUUA